ACUGAGCAUCAUCAGACAGGCAGGGGGAGCAAGAUGGAGUCACUCACCCAGGUCCUCAUGUCUCUUCUGCUCUUGGUAUCUGGUGCCCGUGCAGAUAUCGUGAUGACCCAGUCUCCAUCCACUUUGGCUCUGUCACCAGGAGAGAAGGUCACCAUCAGCUGCAAGUCCAGUCAGAGUCUUUUAUACAGUGCAAAUCAGAAGAACUACUUGGCCUGGUACCAGCAGAAAGCAGGGCAGUCUCCUAAACUGCUGAUCUACUGGGCAUCCACUCAGCACACUGGGAUCCCUGAUCGCUUCAUAGGCAGUGGGUCUGGGACAGAUUUCACUCUCACUAUCAGCAGUGUCCAGGCUGAAGACAUGGGAGAUUAUUUCUGUCAGCACCAUUAUGGUACUCCUCCCACAGUGCUUCAGUCCCUAACAAAAAACCUCCUUUGA
Mesocricetus auratus (golden hamster) is the source of this 435-nucleotide non-coding RNA. The record is from the annotation of a RefSeq genome assembly. Lineage: Eukaryota; Metazoa; Chordata; Mammalia; Rodentia; Cricetidae.